UACGGGGGGUGCAAGCGUUGUCCGGAAUCAUUGGGCGUAAAGCGUUCGUAGGCGGUAUGUCAAGUCUGAUGUUAAAGCCCGGGGCUCAACUCCGGUUCGGCAUUGGAUACUGGCAAACUAGAAUGUGGUAGAGGUAAAGGGAAUUCCUGGUGUAGCGGUGAAAUGCGUAGAUAUCAGGAGGAACAUCGGUGGCGAAAGCGCUUUACUGGACCAUUAUUGACGCUGAGGAACGAAAGCCAGGGGAGCAAACAGG
RNAcentral lists this ribosomal RNA (253 nucleotides) under uncultured cyanobacterium. RNAcentral describes it as "partial 16S ribosomal RNA". It matches the Rfam family "Bacterial small subunit ribosomal RNA", at positions 524 to 776 of the family's 1533-position model. The record is from RNAcentral. Lineage: Bacteria; Bacillati; Cyanobacteriota.